CAGCAAAUUUAGCCAGGACAACUAACUCCGCAUGAUGUUGCAGAAGUGAAGGGACCAGGUUUGCUAAAGUAAUUGUGGUGACAGAAAUGUAUUAGCUUCAGAAGCUACUGAGGUGGUUCAUUCUAUCCUAGUACAGUG
Molecule: small nucleolar RNA, 138 nt
Organism: Myotis daubentonii (Daubenton's bat)
Lineage: Eukaryota; Metazoa; Chordata; Mammalia; Chiroptera; Vespertilionidae
Source: RefSeq, a predicted model, not a curated record